UGAACACUUCGCCUCAGGAAGGAAAUCGAUCUCCUGCCAAGUUCAGGAGAGAGCGAGAAGAGCAAGAGAGAUAGGGAGGAAGAGAGGGAAACACAUCCCCACACCUGCAGCUCUUCCCAGAAUGGUACAUUAAAAGCUGUGCUUGGCAUCUUCACACACUGGGAGCUCCAAAUGGGAAAAAGAGAUAGUGUUUGCAGGUUUGGUUUGUCACACCAUUGGUUAAUCCACUCCAGCUGAGGAGAAAUACAAUGUGGCAGAAUGACCAAACCUCACUGGGCUUAACUGUAUUUCCCAUCCUCCCGCCACUUAAAAAAAACUUGGAUUCUUGUGACAGGGUUUCUGUGAACUAGAUCUUGCUUGUUCAACUGAAUAACCUCUAGCAAUAAACAGCC
Long non-coding RNA from Siniperca chuatsi (mandarin fish), 392 nucleotides. RefSeq lists it as uncharacterized. The transcript is spliced from 4 exons. The record is from RefSeq and is a predicted model, not a curated record. NCBI's taxonomy places the organism in Eukaryota, Metazoa, Chordata, Actinopteri, Centrarchiformes, Sinipercidae.